Molecule: long non-coding RNA, 408 nt
Filed under: Glycine max (soybean)
Lineage: Eukaryota; Viridiplantae; Streptophyta; Magnoliopsida; Fabales; Fabaceae
Description: long non-coding RNA (GMAX_LNC004258)
Source: RNAcentral
UUUUGGAUCAUAUAAUAUUUUUUUCAUGUGAAGAUUAACAAAGACUAUAGACACAUGGUAUUCCCAAAGAUCAUAUAAUAAUAUUACUUAGAGAUAACUGGUAAAUUGAACUCUGGAGUUUAAUUAUGUAUUUUGUUGCAAGUGGAAUAUCGCAGUUGAUAUCGGAACUCCAAUAACUGCAUUGCAAUAACACAUAACGGAUUCAAACACUCACAGUAUUUAUGACUCACAAGUCAGAAGAAUGAUAAAAAUACAUGAGUAGUUCCUUUGGUGACACCCCCAGCAGCUUCCACGCCUUCAUGUUUCUCGAUAUUGAAUCGAUAAAAAAUAAAGUAUUGGAAGCCUUUGAGGGUCACUAAAAGCAUUCUCUAUUCAAACUUGGUAUAUGCUUAGUCAUGCACUUCAUAU